This 492-nucleotide ribosomal RNA is filed under the name uncultured bacterium. Its description in RNAcentral is "partial 16S ribosomal RNA". It matches the Rfam family "Bacterial small subunit ribosomal RNA", at positions 29 to 507 of the family's 1533-position model. The record is from RNAcentral.
AGUGAACGCUGGCGGUAGGCCUAACACAUGCAAGUCGAACGGCCGCACAGUAAGAGCUUGCUCUUACGGGUGGCGAGUGGCGGACGGGUGAGGAAUACAUCGGAAUCUACUUUUUCGUGGGGAAUAUCGUGGGAAAGGUUCCACUAAUACAUAAUAUAAUCAACGGGGGAAAUCAGUGGUUCUUGGCACUUUUGCUGUUUGAUAUAGCUGAUGUCGGUUUAGCUAGUUGGGGGGGUAAAGGCCCACCAAGGCAACGAUCCGUAGCUGGUCUGAGAGGAUGAUCAGCCACACUGGAACUGAGACACGGUCCAGACUCCUACGGGAGGCAGCAGUGGGGAAUAUUGGACAAUGGGCGAAAGCCUGAUCCAGCCAUACCGCGUGGGUGAAGAAGGCCUUCGGGUUGUAAAACCCUUUUGUUGGGAAAGAAAAGCAGCAGGUUAAUACCCCGCUGUUCUGACGGUACCCAAAGAAUAAGCACCGGCUAACUUCGUG